GUCUUUUUCUGCUAUCAUUGCUUUGAUGGUGUUUUUGUCACUCACGAUACAACUGGUAAGAAUCAACAAUAAAGAUGAACGAGACAAGUGACAAUAUCCGAAAGAAGAAGCUGGUUGUUGGUGUUCGCCAGCAACAAAGACGAAUGAAAUUGGCUGCAGAACAAAUAAUUCAGGAAGUGUUGCUGGAUUGUGGAGACAAGUUUGCUGCUGGUUGCUACCAGUGAUCCCAACACCAUCAACGAUACUCAACCAGUCAUAGCUAUACCUGAAUUGGUAGAUGAUCCAGUUCAACAGCACACACCAGAUAUUAAUAGUAUUGGAGAGAACGUAAUCAAUUUUGUUGAUGGAGCGUGCCCUUAUGCUAGUGAACAUUAUUCAUCUUCCGAGACAA
Long non-coding RNA from Daphnia magna, 391 nucleotides. RefSeq lists it as uncharacterized. The record is from RefSeq and is a predicted model, not a curated record. Lineage: Eukaryota; Metazoa; Arthropoda; Branchiopoda; Diplostraca; Daphniidae. The transcript has 3 exons.